This 578-nucleotide ribosomal RNA is filed under the name uncultured bacterium. RNAcentral's name for it is "bacterial SSU rRNA". It matches the Rfam family "Bacterial small subunit ribosomal RNA", at positions 102 to 694 of the family's 1533-position model. The record is from RNAcentral.
ACGGGUGAGUAACACGUGGGUGAUCUGCCCUGCACUUCGGGAUAAGCCUGGGAAACUGGGUCUAAUACCGGAUAUGACCUCCUAUCGCAUGGUGGGUGGUGGAAAGAUUUAUCGGUGCAGGGUGGGCCCGCGGCCUAUCAGCUUGUUGGUGGGGUAAUGGCCUACCAAGGCGACGACGGGUAGCCGACCUGAGAGGGUGACCGGCCACACUGGGACUGAGACACGGCCCAGACUCCUACGGGAGGCAGCAGUGGGGAAUAUUGCACAAUGGGCGAAAGCCUGAUGCAGCGACGCCGCGUGAGGGAUGACGGCCUUCGGGUUGUAAACCUCUUUCAGCAGGGACGAAGCGCAAGUGACGGUACCUGCAGAAGAAGCACCGGCUAACUACGUGCCAGCAGCCGCGGUAAUACGUAGGGUGCAAGCGUUGUCCGGAAUUACUGGGCGUAAAGAGUUCGUAGGCGGUUUGUCGCGUCGUUUGUGAAAACCAGCAGCUCAACUGCUGGCUUGCAGGCGAUACGGGCAGACUUGAGUACUGCGGGGGAGACUGGAAUUCCUGGUGUAGUGGUGAAAUGCGCAGA